UCUGAUAUAAAUACAGAACCAGAAGGUUACCAGUCUGGGACCUGUGGUGCCACCUCUGCUAUAAAUACAGAACCAGAAGGUUACCAGUCUGGGACCUGUGGUGCCACCUCUGCUAUAAAUACAGAACCAGAAGGUUACCAGUCUGGGACCUGUGGUGCCACCUCUGCUAUAAAUACAGAACCAGAAGGUUACCAGUCUGGGACCUGUGGUGCCACCUCUGC
Molecule: long non-coding RNA, 221 nt
Organism: Coregonus clupeaformis (lake whitefish)
Lineage: Eukaryota; Metazoa; Chordata; Actinopteri; Salmoniformes; Salmonidae
Exons: 3
Source: RefSeq, a predicted model, not a curated record